This is an RNA transcript of Hemibagrus wyckioides, 5490 nucleotides long. It is a transcript of the gene named C-type lectin domain family 4 member M-like, with no coding region annotated. The transcript is spliced from 4 exons. NCBI's taxonomy places the organism in Eukaryota, Metazoa, Chordata, Actinopteri, Siluriformes, Bagridae. The record is from RefSeq and is a predicted model, not a curated record.
CAUGGACCCAGGAUGAGCAUGUGGUAACCCUGUAUCCUAGAGUAUAGCUCUCAUUAAUUUCAUGAUUAUGUAAGGACAAAUGCCACUUCUGCAUUAAAGCCUUCCUGCUCUAAAUGUAUUCUUGGAGUGUCAGUUUCACCCCCACUUUGAUCACACUUACUCCCUGUUUCAUGUGUAAAAAAAGAGGAAAUAGGGUUCUUUUAAAGCAUCAACAUGUACAGUCCUUCAGACAGUGUUCCUUCAGACAGUCACUGGGAAUGUAGUUUUAGACAAUUAUAUACUGGUAAAUUUAGUCUAUAAGGACUGAUACCUGCAGCACUGAAAGAUCAGGAUUACUGUAAAGAGAACAAUGGAGAUGAGUGAGGAGAUUUAUGCAAAUGCAGAAGCAGCCAAUAAUAGAGCUAAUUCGAGUGAUAACAAGCCAAUCACAUGAAAACGUUGAGGACAAUUUGCAGACCCAGAGGGCCAGAAGCUUCAAGCAGUCUGAGAGCUCAGGUAAAAUACAUUCACCCUCAGCUAUAUCUGUAUGUACUGAUCUGCUUUACUAAAUUGACUUGUGUGAAAUAUAACCAUCCAUUAAAAAAAAUGUCAAAUUAAACUUAAUGUAUUUGUUUUAUAUUUUAAAACAACAGUAUGUGUUUUGAACUGAAAGCAACCAUCAAACACACACACACACACACAUACACACACACACCUAGCAAAUGACUAACUAGAUUCCAGAGCAUUAACACCAGGAGCAAAUAGCUGUCUUUUUACACAAUUCUAUAAAGGUCAUUAUACAUAGUAAAUAAUACAAUACAAAAAUGGUACAGUUAAAUACGGCAUGAUUAGAUGUACUUUAUGUCUGUAUCUGAUCUUGAUCUGCAACUACAAAAAUUUAAUUUUACUCCAGUGUAGCCAUCAUGUUUCAAGUUUAUCAUGUGCAUAAACAGUGCUUUCAACAUCUAUUUACAGUGAAAUUCUUGUGCUACAGUUGUAAACUCUUACACAGACAAGGUCCAAAAAUUAUAUGGACACAGAACAAUGUGUAUUAAUCUACCAUUUUCUGCAUGUUUCUAAUUGAUGUGUUGAAGAGUUCAAGCUCUGGGGAAAAAAAGAAUAGCGCUAGCAUUAAUAGUGGUAUCUUUACCUAUCUCUGUCUGUCUCUCUGUCUGUCUGUCUCUUUCUCUUACUCUCUCUCUCUUGACUCUCUAGAGCAUGUGAAAUUGAUUGGCAUCUAGUCCCCACUUGUUAAACAUUUGGUAUCUUUUUGGAGAUUGAACUUUAUUAUUUUUAAAGAAGGUUUAGAAGAGCUAAACACUGUGUUUAAGUUCAGUGAUGAUGGUGUUCAUCCUUGUAUCUUCUGAUUCAGACAUGAAUAGAUUUAAAUGCAGUAAAAUAAGCCAUCUUGUCUAUGCCUGUCCUGAGAGACAGAGUGACCCUGGUGUUUUUGAGCAGCUAGUGUAAGUCACAGCUGAGCCUGCUGGGGCUGUUCCCUCUGAGGCUACAGUAUGAUUUGAAUACACUCUUAUGAACUGCAUUUCUUGUAGGUAUAUCAAAGCAUACAUCAUAUGCCUGGUGUAGCUGAAGACAGUGUCUGAUACUCUCAGCAUUAGUGAUAGUGCUUAUGUGUCAAAAUUUUUUACAAGGUUUCAUACAAGCUUGUGAGGAAACAAGUCUUUAUAUCUCUUGUAAAUAUAAUGUAAGGGAUCAAGGGAACAGAGUAUCUUAGAUGCUUAUCUUAGAUGUUCCACAACUUCUAACAACAAGUAAAUGUAACUAUAAAUGGGAAAAAAUUACAGCAUGUUUUGUUUGGAGAAGUAUGGAAGUGGUCUUCAUAGAAGAAUUGCAGCCAAACCUCCAUCAUGGAAGCAAGGUUAAGCAACUCAACUAUGCAUGAAAACAUUGGAGCCGGGGUGCAGGAAAAUUGUAGAAGGUGCUCUGGACUCAUGAGUUCAAAAAUUUGAAAUAUUUGGCUGUAGCAGGAAAACAAACCCAAACAUCCAGCCAAAGCCAUUUAGAAAUAUCUUCAGCAUAGAGAACAACAAGGAGUCCUGGAAGUGAUGGUUUGGCCCUCUACAGAGGCCUGAUCUCAACAUCAUCAAGUCUGUCUGGGAUUAUGUUGAGAGACAGAAGAUUCAAAAUUUAAACAUGAUUACAUUACUUAAUUUCUCUGAAGUUUCAGGAAUCAACCCUGCAGGGAGGAAAAGUUACAGACUGACUGCAGUGUGUUUGCUGCAGCUGAUCAAAUUCGACAACCUUAGUGGAGAAAAAGCCAAUCUGGAGACCAGUCACAACAAUUUGACUAUAGAGAGAGACCAGUUACAGACCAGUUACAACAACCUGACUAAAGAGAGAGACCAGCUACAGUCCAGUUACAACACCCUGACUAAAGAGAGAGACCAGUUACAGACCAGUAACUAGAAUCUGACUAAAGAGAGAGACCAGCUACAGUCCAGUUACAACAACUUGACUAUAGAGAGAGACCAGUUACAGACCAGUUACAACACCCUGACUAAAGAGAGAGACCAGUUACAGACUAGUUACAACAAUUUCACUUUAGAGAGAUGUCGGAACUCAGAGCCCCCUCCGAGUGGACAUAUCACAGGGUGGAAUUUUUGUUUGUAUCUAUUUCUCUUAGCUUUCCCAAUGACCUCCACAAUCUAUAAAACAGCCGAAAUAAAAGAGAUCUCAGUCAACAGAUGAGAAGAAGCAGGUUUCUUUAUUCAGCCAUGCAGUCAACAACAUGCAUAUCUGAAGAGAGCAGCUGGUCUCUCAAACCCCGAAAAAGUCCCCUCUACUUAUACCCCAGGCGCCCCGGGGUGCCUCCUUUUCUCUAAUUUAAAUAUUUCCAGCAAUUUCCCAUUAUAUUCAGUGUAUGGCUACUUUAGUCCCUCCUUCCUUAGUUUACAUACGUUUUCCCAGUUCCCAUUACUUUCGCAUUUGUCCCGAUACCGCCCCUAAAUUGAUACCAUCCUCCCCUUGAUGACGUCAAUUUUCCUCCUCCCCAGUUCCCCUUAUUUUUAGGCUAAGUCAACAAUUUUUAGAAAAAAUUGGCGCUUCCUUAUAGGUGCCACUUCCUUAUUGACUUCAUUUGACCGUCACCUCUUAAAGGUGCUUCCUCGGCUCAUCCUGACCUCGCGCGUUGCCCUCCACAACAAUGUGUAAGUACCUUGCUCUUUUCCUCUAUGUCAUGAUGACUUUUUCCUCUACCUACUUGAUCUAAGUUUUAUUUACUAUUUUUAAAAUAAGCUGUGCCAUUAAGCUGCCUCAUAUCCUUUUCUCUUUUCAUCACUGUUGGUUGCUAGUAUUCUAAUGCUAUUGUCUCCUCUACCUGCCUAUCACUGUCAUGUCACAGUGACCUGGCCUACUUCCCACACUGUGUUCCUUUUGCCUUAGUACACGCUCUCUUUUGCUGACUACAUAGUCACGCAAUAUGCACUUCACUCAUCUUCACUCAUCUCUCCCCAUUUCCCAUUUUUCCUUCCAGCUCAGUCAGCCCACCGCGCUAUCUUCCGGAGAAGUCCCAGGGGUGCUCUGCGACGCUAUCGCCAGUAUCAGCUAUCCUGUCUGGCCAUUGAACUUACUGGUUUCCUGGAGCACCUAUCUGAAUCCUCUAUUCCUGAGUCUCCUUACCUCACUCACCAUAUCGUGAGAGAUACCGUCUGUCUUGAUCAGAGCACCCAAUUUCACCCCACAACCUGUGAUCAGUCUACGCAGACCUUCUACUGGCAUUGGACACGGACCACCUCUCAAGGCGUCCAGACUGAGGAUUUCCCUGUUGAGAUCUCCUCUAAUGAUUCUUCCUCUGACACUGCUUCAUCUCCUAAUUCCCCUGACAUUCCCCAACUUUCUCCUGAAUUUGUGCCUAUGCCUUACAGUGUUCAUGAUAUUCCUCAGUCUUCUCCUGACUAUUCGCCCCCAACUUCUCCCACUGAUUACUCUCCAACUUCUCCUCAGGAUCCCGAGAUUCCGUCUUCUACAACUGACCCCCCGGUCCCACUGAUCCCAUUGGAUAGGCUGGCUGACUGAGUUGUAACUCCUAACGUUCCAAUAAAUCUCUCCUCUUUUCUCUUUCUUCAGUCCCAGUGUGGUUAUUACGCUAGCAUGCUGCCAUUAAUAAUUCUGCAUGAUUAUUAUAAAGACUAUGAGGCUAUAUCUGAUUAUAAUAGCUAUUAUUAAUCAAAGUUAACUACUUAAUCAAUGGCUAAAUAAUUCUCGAUAGAUACACACUACUCUUAGGCAGAAUAUUGCUAAGUCAGAGCUUAGAGCAUUGAGUACAUUAUUACUUAAGCUACUUUUAAAGCUAGGUAUAUAAUUCAAAGCUGGGUAUAUUAUUUUUUCUCCGACAGAGAGACCAGUUACAGACCAGUAACUAGAAUCUGACUAAAGAGAAAGACCAGCUACAGUCCAGUUACAACACCCUGACUAAAGUAAGAGACCAGCUACAGACUAGUUACAACAACUUGACUAUAGAGAGAGACCAGUUACAGACCAGUUACAACACCCUGACUAAAGAGAGAGACCAGUUACAGACUAGUUACAACAAUUUCACUUUAGAGAGAGACCAGUUACAGACCAGUAACUAGAAUCUGACUAAAGAGAGAGACCAGCUACAGUCCAGUUACAACAACCUGACUAAAGUAAGAGACCAGCUACAGACUAGUUACAACAACUUGACUAUAGAGAGAGACCAGUUACAGACUAUUUACAACAACCUGACUAAAGAGAGGGACCAGUUACAGUCCAGUUACAACACCCUGACUAAAGAGAGAGACCAGUUACAGACCAGAUACAACACCGUAACUAAAGAGAGAGAAGUUACAGAGGGAUAAAGAAGAACUCCAGAGGUUUUCUAAACUGGGGUCUGUAUCUAGGAUGGAUAUAUUUCAGCCCAAGUAUUUACUACAUCUCUAAUGAAGGUAAGACCUGGACUGAGAGCAGACAGGACUGCAUAGGGAGAGAAGCAGAUCUGGUGAUCAUAAACACCAAAGAGGAACAGGAGUUUCUCACAACACAUCUGGGCAACAGAGAGGCUUGGAUUGGUCUGAGUGACAGAGACAGAGAGGGUGUGUGGAAAUGGGUGGAUGGUACUCCAUUGAUCACCGACUCUUGGGAAAGUGGGGAACCGAAUAAUGUUGGUGAUGAGGACUGUGCAGUGAUUUUGGGUAAUCUGUGAAAAAAGGGCUGGAAUGUCCUUCAAUGUUUGACAAAGUUAUUAUGGAUCUGUGAGAAGUUAUUAUGAUUAAACAGUGGAACAGAACAGUAAAAUGAUAUUCACAAAUCAAGCUAAAAUUUUGGAGUGGUUCAGUUUGGGGUUUUUUCUUAGCAAUGCUUACAAACGAAUGCUUAAAGAUGCUUUUAUUGCUUGUAAUGCCUAAAGAUUAAAAAGUACAAAGAUUUUAAAAAUAGAUUUUUAUUCUUUUGUGCUUGCAUUUAAUUACUGGAUCAUGUAAUAGACAUAUUUUUUGGAGUAGUUUAAUUCAGGUUUUGUGUGUAUGUGUAUGUAAU